AUCGCUUCUCGGCCUUUUGGCUCAGAUCAAGUGUAGUAUCUGUUCUUAUCAGUUUAAUAUCUGAUACGUCCCCCAUCGGGGGACUACAUAUUAAAUGGAUUUUUCGAACAGGGAGUCGGAAAUGGGGCUUGCUCCGUCCGGCUCCACGCAUCGACCCGGUAUUGCAGUACCUCCGGGAACGGUGCAACACUU
RNAcentral lists this small nuclear RNA (192 nucleotides) under Salmo salar (Atlantic salmon). RNAcentral describes it as "U2 spliceosomal RNA (ENSSSAG00000089268.1, ENSSSAG00000096821.1, ENSSSAG00000120463.1, ENSSSAG00000121261.1)". It matches the Rfam family "U2 spliceosomal RNA". Rfam says of the family: U2 is a small nuclear RNA (snRNA) component of the spliceosome (involved in pre-mRNA splicing). The record is from RNAcentral. Lineage: Eukaryota; Metazoa; Chordata; Actinopteri; Salmoniformes; Salmonidae.